GGAAUACAGUCAAAUUUUUGAAGAAGUUGUUAAAUACAUCCACAAGUGAUAUUGAAGAGAACCUGGUUGGAAUACAGUCCCGCAUUCAAGAACUGAGAAUGCUAUUGUGUUUGCAGUCAGAUGAUGUUCGGAUGGUAGGAAUUUGUGGUAUGAGCGGAAUAGGGAAAACAACCCUUGCUAGAGCUAUUUAUAACCAAAUUUCCGACCAAUUUGAAGCUUGCUCCUUUCUUGAAAUUGCGAAUGAUUUCAAAGAGCAGGAUUUAACCAGUUUAGCAGAGAAACUUCUUUCUCAAUUAUUGGAGGAAGAAAAUCUCAAAAUAAAAGGAUCCACUUCUAUAAAAGCAAGGCUCCACUCAAGAAAGGUCCUUGUUGUUCUUGAUAAUGUGAAUAAUCUAACAAUAUUGGAACAUUUAGUCGGAAAUCAGGAUUGGUUUGGUCAAGGGAGUAGAAUUAUCGUAAAUACUCGGGAUAAACAUUUGUUAAUUCAACAUAAAGUCGAUUAUUAUGAGGUUGCAGAAUUUAGGGGUGAUGAAGCUUGAUAAUUUCUGGUCCAAAAGUAAGCCCUAAGAUCUGGUGGGAUUCAUGAUGCUGAUUUCAGAGGUGUGGAGGCAUCAUGAUUUGCUGAUUUCAAGCCCUGAGGGACCUGGAUUCAAAUCCUAAUAUGGCAUCAUAUGACUGUGGUGACAGAAGGAAAGAGAAGAAAAAGAUGUGGGGAUAAGAAUCCAAGUCCAUUGGUUGAAAAUGAAGAGCCUGCUGUAUAUGGAGUGCCUUUUGUAGAAUCCAAGUCCAUUGGUUUCGGUUUUUCUGCUUCUUGUGCACUCUGCCCUGUUGAAGAGACUUCUGAAUGCAUCAUCGUUGAACUGCUUUCUUCGCUGUCUGUAUCACUUGGUACCUGUGUCCUUCUUCCUGAACAUUGUUCCCAGUUGAAGAAUCCAGUGACAGUCUCUUUGCUGGAAUACUUUCUUCAUCCUCUGGGUCCAUUGGUCCUUGUAUACUCUUUCCCUAUUGAAAAGUCUAGUGAGGGCUUUUUCGUUAGAGAAUUUACUGCAAAGUCUGGAUUGAUUGAUGCUUUGAUCUGCAUUUACAUAUCAAAAAUAGCAAAUCGAGGAAAGGAUGAUGGAAUGCGGCCUUUUGCAGCCUUCACACUGCAGUUGCACCUUAUGCAGAUCUCUUGAACGCCAAUGUCCACUGCUGAAAACAAAUACUGUUUCAAGCCAUUUGGGUUGUCAAGCUGCAUUAAGUGCAUUGGCUGCUCAUUCAAUUGAUCCCGGUGAAGCAGAAAGACAAGUUCUUGGCAUUAUCUUAGGGCAAGGUCAACAAAUGACUGGAUGAUUAUUUACAAUGGGUUGUUGAAAGUCAGAGAUUUAGUCUCCCCAAGGAAAUGGCAGAGUUCCCUUCUAGUCCCAUAGGCAAAAUUCACAAAGGGGCAUUUUCAACCUGGAUGAAGGCAGUAUUGAAGCAUUAAAUAUGUUGCUUUUGCACAACUUGGAUGCAUCAAAAAGGUUGAAGUAGAUAAAUCAGCUUUUGAGGUUCAAGCGAAGGUCGAUCUUGAAGCGAAAGUCUACCUUGACCCGGUCAUCAUUGCAGAAAUCCAAGCUUGACCCAAAGUUGAAGGGCAUUGCAGCAAAGUCUCCUCAUCUUUGUACCUACCUUGAACGAUGAGCCUUCACUCCACUUAGUGUCUUAUUUUUUUCUCGUGUGUAUACGUACUCGGUAUAAGGUUUAUAUGAUCAUCUCCGUUUCCCUCCUAA
This is an RNA transcript of Vitis riparia (riverbank grape), 1751 nucleotides long. RefSeq lists it as uncharacterized. The transcript has 7 exons. The record is from RefSeq and is a predicted model, not a curated record. NCBI's taxonomy places the organism in Eukaryota, Viridiplantae, Streptophyta, Magnoliopsida, Vitales, Vitaceae.